UACGUAGGGGGCAAGCGUUGUCCGGAUUUAUUGGGCGUAAAGAGCGUGUAGGCGGCUUUACAGGUCCGUUGUGAAAACUCGAGGCUCAACCUCGAGACGCCGGUGGAAACCGUAAAGCUAGAGUCCGGAAGAGGAGAGUGGAAUUCCUGGUGUAGCGGUGAAAUGCGCAGAUAUCAGGAAGAACACCAACGGCGAAGGCAGCUCGCUAGGACGGUACUGACGCUGAGACGCGAAAGCGUGGGGAGCGAACAGG
RNAcentral lists this ribosomal RNA (253 nucleotides) under uncultured bacterium. RNAcentral's name for it is "partial 16S ribosomal RNA". It matches the Rfam family "Bacterial small subunit ribosomal RNA", at positions 524 to 776 of the family's 1533-position model. The record is from RNAcentral.